Molecule: ribosomal RNA, 253 nt
Filed under: uncultured bacterium
Lineage: Bacteria
Description: partial 16S ribosomal RNA
Rfam family: Bacterial small subunit ribosomal RNA
Source: RNAcentral
UACGAAGGGGGCUAGCGUUGUUCGGAAUUACUGGGCGUAAAGGGCGCGUAGGCGGUCUUGUAAGUCAGAUGUGAAAGCCCCGGGCUCAACCCGGGAAUAGCAUUUGAUACUGCGAGGCUUGAGUCCGGGAGAGGAUGGCGGAAUUCCCAGUGUAGAGGUGAAAUUCGUAGAUAUUGGGAAGAACACCGGUGGCGAAGGCGGCCAUCUGGACCGGUACUGACGCUGAGGCGCGAAAGCGUCGGGAGCAAACAGG